RNAcentral lists this ribosomal RNA (454 nucleotides) under fungal sp. RNAcentral's name for it is "eukaryotic LSU rRNA". The stretch from base 101 to 254 matches the Rfam family "5.8S ribosomal RNA". Lineage: Eukaryota; Fungi. The record is from RNAcentral.
GUGGCUAGGAAGUGCGCGAGCCUUUCAUUCAUACACCUGUGCACCGUGGUCUCCGGACCUACAAACUUGAAGUCAUGAACGUAAUCAUUAUAAACAAUAAAACUUUCAACAACGGAUCUCUUGGCUCUCGCAUCGAUGAAGAACGCAGCGAAAUGCGAUAAGUAAUGUGAAUUGCAGAAUUCAGUGAAUCAUCGAAUCUUUGAACGCAUCUUGCGCCCUUUGGUAUUCCGAAGGGCAUGCCUGUUUGAGUGUCAUGAAAACAUCAUCCCAUCGGGUUUCCGAUGGCAUGGACUUGGGUGUUGCCGUCCGGCUCGCCUCAAAAGCCUCAGUGGUUCGAUCGAAUCUGGCGUAAUAAGUUUCGCUGGCCUAGUGACGUCUGCUUUACCCGUCUUCUGACAUUUUUGCUCUGACCUCAAAUCAGGUAGGACUACCCGCUGAACUUAAGCAUAUCAAA